CACGUAGGCUGUAGUGUAAGUCAGGGGUGAAAUCCCACGGCUUAACCGUGGAACUGCCUUUGAUACUGCACAACUUGAGUCCGGGAGAGGGUGGCGGAAUUCCAGGUGUAGGAGUGAAAUCCGUAGAUAUCUGGAGGAACAUCAGUGGCGAAGGCGGCCACCUGGACCGGUAUUGACGCUGAGGUGCGAAAGCGUGGGGAGCAAACA
This 207-nucleotide ribosomal RNA is filed under the name uncultured bacterium. Its description in RNAcentral is "partial 16S ribosomal RNA". It matches the Rfam family "Bacterial small subunit ribosomal RNA", at positions 568 to 774 of the family's 1533-position model. The record is from RNAcentral.